This 253-nucleotide ribosomal RNA is filed under the name uncultured bacterium. RNAcentral describes it as "partial 16S ribosomal RNA". It matches the Rfam family "Bacterial small subunit ribosomal RNA", at positions 526 to 779 of the family's 1533-position model. The record is from RNAcentral.
CAGAGGGUGCGAGCGUUAAUCGGAUUUACUGGGCGUAAAGCGCGCGUAGGUGGUUAAUUAAGUCAAAUGUGAAAUCCCCGAGCUUAACUUGGGAAUUGCAUUCGAUACUGGUUAGCUAGAGUAUGGGAGAGGAUGGUAGAAUUCCAGGUGUAGCGGUGAAAUGCGUAGAGAUCUGGAGGAAUACCGAUGGCGAAGGCAGCCAUCUGGCCUAAUACUGACACUGAGGUGCGAAAGCAUGGGAGCAAACAGGAUU